This is a long non-coding RNA of Papaver somniferum (opium poppy), 632 nucleotides long. RefSeq lists it as uncharacterized. The record is from RefSeq and is a predicted model, not a curated record. The transcript has 2 exons. Lineage: Eukaryota; Viridiplantae; Streptophyta; Magnoliopsida; Ranunculales; Papaveraceae.
AUUCAAUUUGAAUGAGGAAUGCGGAAUGCCUAUAAAUUGAAAACAUAUCAACUCAAUCCGAUAUAUUGAAAUCAUGGUUAAAGCUUGUCUAAGUUUUUCUCCUUUUCUUGUUGGAUUUCUCUUGGUUUUGUUUGUUGCAGACAUAGGAUACGUCCGUGGUGAAUGUGAUGUGGGGAGACGCAUGCGGGUGGAGGACGGGUGUGAUGGUGUAGAUUGUGAUUCUCUUUGUAUUAGCAACUGCGAUUUUUUAGUCAGUAAAACUGAAUGCCAAUUUGAUGAAGGUUAUAUUUUCUCUGGCCAUUACUGCGCAUGUUGCAGGUAAGGAUAUAAACAGCAACUUGCCGGCUCUGUCAUCAGUUAGGGUUGGCGCGACACCAAUCAUGUAUCUUACUUUCUCCAUCGUUUCUUCGUAGUAAUAAGUUCACUGAUAAAUUAUUGAUCUUUUGUUACAUGUUUGUAACUUUUUUGUAUCGCCGGUCCUUUUAUAAUCAAGCGGGCUUGUGUUACUAGCUAGUGUGGGUGUUUGUUUAAUUUGUAUUGCAAAAUGUUAAUCAUCGAGUAGAUGUAACCGUUCGAUUUACAUCGAUCAUUUGUCUGAUCUUCUCCACCAAAGUCAUUCUCUCUUUUCAUCA